AGAGUUUGAUCCUGGCUCAGAUUGAACGCUGGCGGCAGGCCUAACACAUGCAAGUCGAACGGUAACAGGAAGAAGCUUGCUUCUUUGCUGACGAGUGGCGGACGGGUGAGUAAUGUCUGGGAAACUGCCUGAUGGAGGGGGAUAACUACUGGAAACGGUAGCUAAUACCGCAUAACGUCGCAAGACCAAAAAGGGGGACCUUCGGGCCUCUUGCCAUCGGAUGUGCCCAGAUGGGAUUAGCUAGUAGGUGGGGUAACGGCUCACCUAGGCGACGAUCCCUAGCUGGUCUGAGAGGAUGACCAGCCACACUGGAACUGAGACACGGUCCAGACUCCUACGGGAGGCAGCAGUGGGGAAUAUUGCACAAUGGGCGCAAGCCUGAUGCAGCCAUGCCGCGUGUAUGAAGAAGGCCUUCGGGUUGUAAAGUACUUUCAGCGGGGAGGAAGGGAGUAAAGUUAAUACCUUUGCUCAUUGACGUUACCCGCAGAAGAAGCACCGGCUAACUCCGUGCCAGCAGCCGCGGUAAUACGGAGGGUGCAAGCGUUAAUCGGAAUUACUGGGCGUAAAGCGCACGCAGGCGGUUUGUUAAGUCAGAUGUGAAAUCCCCGGGCUCAACCUGGGAACUGCAUCUGAUACUGGCAAGCUUGAGUCUCGUAGAGGGGGGUAGAAUUCCAGGUGUAGCGGUGAAAUGCGUAGAGAUCUGGAGGAAUACCGGUGGCGAAGGCGGCCCCCUGGACGAAGACUGACGCUCAGGUGCGAAAGCGUGGGGAGCAAACAGGACUAGAUACCCUGGUAGUCCACGCCGUAAACGAUGUCGACUUGGAGGUUGUGCCCUUGAGGCGUGGCUUCCGGAGCUAACGCGUUAAGUCGACCG
This 874-nucleotide ribosomal RNA is filed under the name uncultured Gammaproteobacteria bacterium. Its description in RNAcentral is "bacterial SSU rRNA". It matches the Rfam family "Bacterial small subunit ribosomal RNA", at positions 8 to 871 of the family's 1533-position model. The record is from RNAcentral. Lineage: Bacteria; Pseudomonadati; Pseudomonadota; Gammaproteobacteria.